UCCGUUAUGAUGUAGUGGCUAACAUUAUCGCCUCUCGUGAAAUUUCCCUGCCAUGAGCGCGAUAGCCCAGGGUUUCGAUUCCGUGUAACGGAG
This is a non-coding RNA of Marasmius tenuissimus, 93 nucleotides long. The record is from the annotation of a GenBank genome assembly. Lineage: Eukaryota; Fungi; Basidiomycota; Agaricomycetes; Agaricales; Marasmiaceae.